This 1024-nucleotide ribosomal RNA is filed under the name Pediococcus acidilactici. RNAcentral's name for it is "bacterial SSU rRNA". It matches the Rfam family "Bacterial small subunit ribosomal RNA", at positions 423 to 1440 of the family's 1533-position model. Lineage: Bacteria; Bacillati; Bacillota; Bacilli; Lactobacillales; Lactobacillaceae. The record is from RNAcentral.
UCGUAAAGCUCUGUUGUUAAAGAAGAACGUGGGUGAGAGUAACUGUUCACCCAGUGACGGUAUUUAACCAGAAAGCCACGGCUAACUACGUGCCAGCAGCCGCGGUAAUACGUAGGUGGCAAGCGUUAUCCGGAUUUAUUGGGCGUAAAGCGAGCGCAGGCGGUCUUUUAAGUCUAAUGUGAAAGCCUUCGGCUCAACCGAAGAAGUGCAUUGGAAACUGGGAGACUUGAGUGCAGAAGAGGACAGUGGAACUCCAUGUGUAGCGGUGAAAUGCGUAGAUAUAUGGAAGAACACCAGUGGCGAAGGCGGCUGUCUGGUCUGUAACUGACGCUGAGGCUCGAAAGCAUGGGUAGCGAACAGGAUUAGAUACCCUGGUAGUCCAUGCCGUAAACGAUGAUUACUAAGUGUUGGAGGGUUUCCGCCCUUCAGUGCUGCAGCUAACGCAUUAAGUAAUCCGCCUGGGGAGUACGACCGCAAGGUUGAAACUCAAAAGAAUUGACGGGGGCCCGCACAAGCGGUGGAGCAUGUGGUUUAAUUCGAAGCUACGCGAAGAACCUUACCAGGUCUUGACAUCUUCUGCCAACCUAAGAGAUUAGGCGUUCCCUUCGGGGACAGAAUGACAGGUGGUGCAUGGUUGUCGUCAGCUCGUGUCGUGAGAUGUUGGGUUAAGUCCCGCAACGAGCGCAACCCUUAUUACUAGUUGCCAGCAUUCAGUUGGGCACUCUAGUGAGACUGCCGGUGACAAACCGGAGGAAGGUGGGGACGACGUCAAAUCAUCAUGCCCCUUAUGACCUGGGCUACACACGUGCUACAAUGGAUGGUACAACGAGUCGCGAAACCGCGAGGUUUAGCUAAUCUCUUAAAACCAUUCUCAGUUCGGACUGUAGGCUGCAACUCGCCUACACGAAGUCGGAAUCGCUAGUAAUCGCGGAUCAGCAUGCCGCGGUGAAUACGUUCCCGGGCCUUGUACACACCGCCCGUCACACCAUGAGAGUUUGUAACACCCAAAGCCGGUGGGGUAACC